RNAcentral lists this ribosomal RNA (301 nucleotides) under uncultured bacterium. RNAcentral describes it as "partial 16S ribosomal RNA". It matches the Rfam family "Bacterial small subunit ribosomal RNA", at positions 509 to 807 of the family's 1533-position model. The record is from RNAcentral.
CAGUAGCCGCGGUAAUACGUAGGUGGCAAGCGUUGUCCGGAAUUAUUGGGCGUAAAGGGCUCGCAGGCGGUCUCUUAAGUCUGAUGUGAAGGCCCCCGGCUCAACCGGGGAGGGUCAUUGGAAACUGGGAAACUUGAGUGCAGAAGAGGAGAGUGGAAUUCCACGUGUAGCGGUGAAAUGCGUAGAGAUGUGGAGGAACACCAGUGGCGAAGGCGACUCUCUGGUCUGUAACUGACGCUGAGGAGCGAAAGCGUGGGGAGCGAACAGGAUUAGAUACCCCCGUAGUCCCUGUCUCUUAUAC